GAUGAACGCUGGCGGCGUGCCUAAUACAUGCAAGUCGAGCGAACAGACGAGGAGCUUGCUCCUCUGACGUUAGCGGCGGACGGGUGAGUAACACGUGGAUAACCUACCUAUAAGACUGGGAUAACUUCGGGAAACCGGAGCUAAUACCGGAUAAUAUAUUGAACCGCAUGGUUCAAUAGUGAAAGACGGUUUUGCUGUCACUUAUAGAUGGAUCCGCGCCGCAUUAGCUAGUUGGUAAGGUAACGGCUUACCAGGCAACGAUGCGUAGCCGACCUGAGAGGGUGAUCGGCCACACUGGAACUGAGACACGGUCCAGACUCCUACGGGAGGCAGCAGUAGGGAAUCUUCCGCAAAGGGCGAAAGCCUGACGGAGCAACGCCGCGUGAGUGAUGAAGGUCUUCGGAUCGUAAAACUCUGUUAUUAGGGAAGAACAAAUGUGUAAGUAACUAUGCACGUCUUGACGGUACCUAAUCAGAAAGCCACGGCUAACUACGUG
RNAcentral lists this ribosomal RNA (496 nucleotides) under uncultured bacterium. RNAcentral's name for it is "partial 16S ribosomal RNA". It matches the Rfam family "Bacterial small subunit ribosomal RNA", at positions 28 to 507 of the family's 1533-position model. The record is from RNAcentral.